This is a long non-coding RNA of Brienomyrus brachyistius, 1966 nucleotides long. RefSeq lists it as uncharacterized. NCBI's taxonomy places the organism in Eukaryota, Metazoa, Chordata, Actinopteri, Osteoglossiformes, Mormyridae. The record is from RefSeq and is a predicted model, not a curated record. The transcript has 2 exons.
GCCCUGUCAGCACACGAAGGACAGAGGGAAAACCGCUUCAGUAGCUGGAAGUCAGAAUCACGGAAAGGCUGCACGAAGCUAACAAAAAUCAGUGUUAUAAGAGGCUGAAUGGAGGAUUACAAACAGGCACCCCCUGGCCACCCUUCAAGUCUGCCCACGUGGAAGGACCCCACCACACCUGUGCAACCAGAGUCAUGAGAGCCAGCAGCUGACCAUGGAAAGCAGCUUCGUGGAGGGGGGACCUGUCUGCCCAAGAACCUGGGAGGUUCAGAAAAAUGCCAUAAAAACGUAUAAUAUUCAUAUGCAUAUUAACAAUGGACAGAGGUAUUGAAAUCCGCAUUCUGUUACUUUGUAUGGCCAUCUUACAAACUGGGCGAUUUUCCCAAGGCUGAAAAGAUUUCUGAACAAUGCAGUCAACCUCAAAGAAACACCGGAAACCCGGUUUCCUGACAGUACCUUGUUUUGCUUCGACUUGGGGAAGCGCUACGGACCCCACUCACCGCCCUGGAAGGCAUGGCAGAUAUAAUUCCCGUAGAGGUCGUAUCUGGAGUGCCAGGACAGGGCCGUCGUGCCGGCGACGUCGUGCCUCCUCAGCGACAUGCCGCAUGCAUGCUGGCCGAACGCAGUUUACCGGCUGCGGGUAGACGCCGAGCAGGCUUCCUGAGCCGUUCUUGGAGAUGUGCCAUCCUUUGGUAAGAUGAGCCGGCAGCGACCCCUGACAGGCGUGCUUGGCGAUCCCGAUCCUCAGCGUCCCCGGCUCGAAUCUCUUUGUUGAUUACACUUUAUUAUAUUAUAUUAACUCAGAGUAGCGUUACCAUAAUAAAGUUACCAUUGUAAAGUUCAAACAGUCUUCCACAAAUUCAUUUGAAAUGACCAACAAAACCACUGUACUUAAGAGAAGCUUUAGUGCAAUAUUUAUACACAUACUUAUAAAAAAUUACCACGAUUUGUACCAUUAGAGAACAUACUUUAUUAAUUUUUCUUUAAUGUUUUGGUACAGUAUCAAAAUCAAUGUUGCUUUCGUAUCACAACCACCUGCUCGACAACUUCACCUGAAGACUUUUUAAUAAACACUAUCAGAUCAUAUAACUAUGGUCCACAUACGUUCACAGAAUUUAACUUUUUUCUACUGUAAACAGUUCAGGUUGAAAUGGGAUGGUGGCAUCAAACACAUAAGGAAAAUAAAUUUAUAAGUGGAGUAAAAUGCAAACGGUACAAAUGAAUCAGGAAUUUACAUGAAAAUAAGUACAAAAGAAAAUGGCUGAAACGCGAUACAUCGAACCAAAGAAAUGGAAAAUUAUGAUUACGCAAUGGCAGCAACGACAGUGUAGUUUUUGACCAUUAUCUUUUCAUAAAAUUGCUUUUGUGAAAUCAACACAAUUUUUUUCCAUGUUUUUUUUUUUUUUUUUUUAGAAACACGCGCCAUGCUUAACGUUCCAGAAAUAAUCCCUCUAUUAAACGAACCCUUUCCUUGUGCUUUAGGCACCACAUAAGUAAUGCAAUUAUGUCAGAUGGCUGUACUGCAAAUUGUACAAAACUGGUGAGGGAACCGUGACCGCUAGGGGGCGAUGAGGUUUCAUUCACAGUGCACACGAAUUGUAGUCUUGUUCUCUACACAGCUUACAGUCGGAGUGGGAUCAUUUAACAUAUGUCGUAGACAUUCUACAGGGCUGUAAUGUAAACCGUUUUGUCAUGAAAUACAAUGUAAAACAGAGCAGAUUCCUUAAGAGAAAAAAUAAAUAUAGAAAAUAAACAGUGCAUACAAUCCUUCAUGGACUUUGCGACUAAAUUAAAUUAAAAUCACACUAAAUCUCUUCCAUUUUUAUACCGGCUGCUGCUUCAACCAAUGAAUCAGUAUAUCGAACCUCUUUACUGUCAUUAAAGCAAAACUGCACCAUCAUUGCAACUGCAAUUGGCAAGAGGGAUUGUUAAAUGAAAAAAAAAACAUGUUACACACAACUGCCUC